UACGUAGGGUGCGAGCGUUAAUCGGAAUUACUGGGCGUAAAGCGUGCGCAGGCGGCGCGUUAAGACAGGUGUGAAAGCCCCGAGCUUAACUUGGGAAUUGCGCUUGUGACUGGCGUGCUGGAGUGUGGCAGAGGGAGGUGGAAUUCCACGUGUAGCAGUGAAAUGCGUAGAUAUCGGCAGGAACACCCAGGGGGAAACCAGCCGACUGGGCAAGUGCUGACGCUGAGGUGCGAGAGCGUGGGGAGCGAACCGG
Molecule: ribosomal RNA, 253 nt
Filed under: uncultured bacterium
Lineage: Bacteria
Description: partial 16S ribosomal RNA
Rfam family: Bacterial small subunit ribosomal RNA
Source: RNAcentral